This 203-nucleotide ribosomal RNA is filed under the name uncultured bacterium. Its description in RNAcentral is "partial 16S ribosomal RNA". It matches the Rfam family "Bacterial small subunit ribosomal RNA", at positions 524 to 725 of the family's 1533-position model. The record is from RNAcentral.
UACGUAGGGUGCGAGCGUUAAUCGGAAUUACUGGGCGUAAAGCGUGCGCAGGCGGUCUGUUAAGACCGAUGUGAAAUCCCCGGGCUUAACCUGGGAACUGCAUUGGUGACUGGCAGGCUUUGAGUGUGGCAGAGGGAGGUAGAAUUCCACGUGUAGCAGUGAAAUGCGUAGAGAUGUGGAGGAAUACCGAUGGCGAAGGCGGC